Non-coding RNA from Ceratotherium simum simum (southern white rhinoceros), 728 nucleotides. Lineage: Eukaryota; Metazoa; Chordata; Mammalia; Perissodactyla; Rhinocerotidae. The record is from RefSeq and is a predicted model, not a curated record.
UCAUGGCCAGAAAAGUGUGCUCCAGAGAGAAAGCCAAGGAUGUGGCUGGACAAGAUUCUGCUAGUGCCUCACAAGGACCAAAAGAUCAGAAUGUUCAUCACAUAAAGGGCUCUUGGAAGAGAUUAGGUGUAUGAAUGAUGAAUCCCAUCAGCCAUUUCAGGAGAGGCCAGGAAUAGAGAUGUGUUUAUCCAAGGAAGAUUGUGAAGAAGCAUCUUGUCUAAUGAAGUGAAUCCCCUACAAGGCUUUUUAAGAUGUUAUACAAUGGAAACACUACCAGCUUGGACUGAAAUGGACAAAGAGAAGGUGAAAUGAAGUAAGGCUAUCUGACCCCAAAAAUUCUAUAGGCAGGAAACAGGCUAAUGAUACCACGCGACCUCAAACACAUGCUAUCCUUCAAAAAAAAAAAAGGAAGGAUGACUCUGAGGGCAGAGCUGCAGGUCCAGAGGACAGACAUUGAAGCCACAGAGGAUUAUUCCCAGGCCUUGAACCCUAAUGGAGUUUGCCAAGCUGGAUUUUUGAAAUUGCUUGGGAUUGAAAUCAGGACUAUCAUUAGUUGAACUCUUCACCUAUGACAAGAAUGAUCGGGCAGAGAGCACCUGGAAUCCAUGUUCUCCAAGGUACAUUUUAAAACCUACUGAUAAGUUUUACAAAUUUCUCUACAAAGUUUGACAAAUUUCUCCAUACAGAUCUUUUGUAAGAGUUUCUCUUGUUCAGGAAUUUGAGUGCAG